ACGGAAGGCAGCAGUGGGGAAUAUUGGGCAAUGGGCGAAAGCCUGACCCAGCAACGCCGCGUGAAGGAAGAAGGUUUUCGGAUUGUAAACUUCUUUUAUCAGGGACGAAGAAAGUGACGGUACCUGAUGAAUAAGCCACGGCUAACUACGUGCCAGCAGCCGCGGUAAUACGUAGGUGGCAAGCGUUAUCCGGAUUUACUGGGUGUAAAGGGCGCGUAGGCGGGGAUGCAAGUCAGGUGUGAAAUCUAUGGGCUUAACCCAUAAACUGCAUUUGAAACUGUAUCUCUUGAGUGUCGGAGAGGUAGACGGAAUUCCUAGUGUAGCGGUGAAAUGCGUAGAUAUUAGGAGGAACACCAGUGGCGAAGGCGGCUUGCUGGACUGUUACUGACACUGAGGCACGAAAGCGUGGGGAGCAAACAGGAUUAGAUACCCUGGUA
This 437-nucleotide ribosomal RNA is filed under the name uncultured Oscillospiraceae bacterium. Its description in RNAcentral is "bacterial SSU rRNA". It matches the Rfam family "Bacterial small subunit ribosomal RNA", at positions 341 to 792 of the family's 1533-position model. Lineage: Bacteria; Bacillati; Bacillota; Clostridia; Eubacteriales; Oscillospiraceae. The record is from RNAcentral.